AUUGAACGCUGGCGGCAGGCCUAACACAUGUAAGUCGAGCGAGCGGCGGACGGGUGAGUAAUGCCUAGGAAUCUGCCUGGUAGUGGGGGAUAACUACUGGAAACGGUAGCUAAUACCGCAUACCAUCAGAUGUGCCCAGAUGGGAUUAGAUAGUAGGUGGGGUAAAGGCUCACCUAGGCGACGAUCCCUAGCUGGUCUGAGAGGAUGACCAGCCACACUGGACCUGAGACACGGUCCAGACUCCUACGGGAGGCAGCAGUGGGGAAUAUUGCACAAUGGGCGCAAGCCUGAUGCAGCCAUGCCGCGUGUGUGAAGAAGGCCUUCGGGUUGUAAAGCACUUUCAGCGUGUAGGCGUUACCCGCAGAAGAAGCACCGGCUAACUCCGUGCCAGCAGCCGCGGUAAUAC
RNAcentral lists this ribosomal RNA (406 nucleotides) under uncultured bacterium. RNAcentral describes it as "partial 16S ribosomal RNA". It matches the Rfam family "Bacterial small subunit ribosomal RNA", at positions 30 to 526 of the family's 1533-position model. The record is from RNAcentral.